CUCUCUGCUUUCAGCUUCUUUACAGUGUUGCCUUGUGGCAUGGAGUUCAAGCAGCAUUGUACAGGGCUAUCAAAGCACAGAGAG
RNAcentral lists this microRNA precursor (84 nucleotides) under Eptesicus fuscus (big brown bat). Its description in RNAcentral is "microRNA efu-mir-107 precursor". Its record names the gene efu-mir-107. It matches the Rfam family "mir-103/107 microRNA precursor family". From Rfam's summary of the family: This family consists of the mammalian microRNA (miRNA) precursors mir-103 and mir107. The record is from miRBase by way of RNAcentral. Lineage: Eukaryota; Metazoa; Chordata; Mammalia; Chiroptera; Vespertilionidae.